This 246-nucleotide unclassified non-coding RNA is filed under the name uncultured Actinomycetes bacterium. RNAcentral's name for it is "uncultured actinobacterium partial contains 16S ribosomal RNA, intergenic spacer and 23S ribosomal RNA". The record is from RNAcentral. Lineage: Bacteria; Bacillati; Actinomycetota; Actinomycetes.
UGCGGCUGGAUCCCCUCCUUUCUAGGGAAUCCGGAGCCAUUACUCCGGGGGCUCUCGGACCGUUGAUGGCUUUGCCGUCCGGACAACCGAGUCGCCUAGAAGAACGUCGACCUCGACGUCGAACGCUGUUGAGUUUUGAGAGACCGUUGCUAAAGGCGGUCUACGCGCACCUUGAAAACUCCAUAGCGGCAACACACGUGUUCUUUUCGAUCAAGAGAACAAGGGCACACGGUGGAUGCCUUGGCA